UCCCAAUGAGGAAGCGAACCCAAAAGAUAGGAAGUGCCGUAUGACACUCUUAAACGCAGCAGUUUG
Small nucleolar RNA from Papaver somniferum (opium poppy), 66 nucleotides. RefSeq annotates it as small nucleolar RNA U49. Lineage: Eukaryota; Viridiplantae; Streptophyta; Magnoliopsida; Ranunculales; Papaveraceae. The transcript has a single exon. The record is from RefSeq and is a predicted model, not a curated record.